This 73-nucleotide transfer RNA is filed under the name Terfezia boudieri ATCC MYA-4762. It matches the Rfam family "tRNA". Rfam says of the family: Transfer RNA (tRNA) molecules are approximately 80 nucleotides in length. Lineage: Eukaryota; Fungi; Ascomycota; Pezizomycetes; Pezizales; Pezizaceae. The record is from Rfam by way of RNAcentral.
GGUCGCGUGGCUCAAUUGGCAGAGCAUCGUGCUAAAAACGCGAAGGUUGUGAGUUCGAGUCUCACCGUGACCA